AAAACACAAAAAUCAAUGUUUAUUUUGUUUAAAAAAAUAUGUGUAUACUACACAUGGCAGGAUAUCCUCCAUCUGAACUAAGUUAAGAUGACCCACUGUUUUGAUUCAGAAUCUUAGCAUAACAGCACAGAUUAAUAACACAUGACACAUCAAAGCCAGGCAAGGAAAUUAAAUCAAUUCACAUGAGCAGAUGGCAGAUAUCCUGUGCCAGGUAUUA
Molecule: non-coding RNA, 217 nt
Organism: Pelobates cultripes (western spadefoot toad)
Lineage: Eukaryota; Metazoa; Chordata; Amphibia; Anura; Pelobatidae
Source: the annotation of a GenBank genome assembly